UACGUAGGGUGCGAGCGUUGUCCGGAAUUAUUGGGCGUAAAGGGCUCGUAGGCGGUCUGUCACGUCGGGAGUGAAAACACGGGGCUUAACCCCGUGCCUGCUUCCGAUACGGGCAGACUAGAGGUAUGCAGGGGGAGAACGAAUUCCUGGUGUAGCGGUGAAAUGCGCAGAUAUCAGGAGGAACACCGGUGGCGAAGGCGGUUCUCUGGGCAUUACCUGACGCUGAGGAGCGAAAGUGUGGGGAGCGAACAGG
RNAcentral lists this ribosomal RNA (253 nucleotides) under uncultured bacterium. Its description in RNAcentral is "partial 16S ribosomal RNA". It matches the Rfam family "Bacterial small subunit ribosomal RNA", at positions 524 to 776 of the family's 1533-position model. The record is from RNAcentral.